RNAcentral lists this transfer RNA (92 nucleotides) under Clostridiales bacterium. RNAcentral describes it as "tRNA-Ser". It matches the Rfam family "tRNA". Rfam says of the family: Transfer RNA (tRNA) molecules are approximately 80 nucleotides in length. Their secondary structure includes four short double-helical elements and three loops (D, anti-codon, and T loops). RNAcentral also lists the same sequence under 2 other names. The record is from RNAcentral. Lineage: Bacteria; Bacillati; Bacillota; Clostridia; Eubacteriales.
GGAGAGAUGGCAGAGUCCGGUUGAAUGCGCACGACUCGAAAUCGUGUGAGUUAGUGAUAGCUCCGUGGGUUCGAAUCCCACUCUCUCCGCCA